RNAcentral lists this ribosomal RNA (471 nucleotides) under Pseudomonas sp. oral taxon C84. Its description in RNAcentral is "bacterial SSU rRNA". It matches the Rfam family "Bacterial small subunit ribosomal RNA", at positions 30 to 494 of the family's 1533-position model. The record is from RNAcentral. Lineage: Bacteria; Pseudomonadati; Pseudomonadota; Gammaproteobacteria; Pseudomonadales; Pseudomonadaceae.
AUUGAACGCUGGCGGCAGGCCUAACACAUGCAAGUCGAGCGGUAGAGAGAAGCUUGCUUCUCUUGAGAGCGGCGGACGGGUGAGUAAUGCCUAGGAAUCUGCCUGGUAGUGGGGGAUAACGUCCGGAAACGGACGCUAAUACCGCAUACGUCCUACGGGAGAAAGCAGGGGACCUUCGGGCCUUGCGCUAUCAGAUGAGCCUAGGUCGGAUUAGCUAGUUGGUGGGGUAAUGGCUCACCAAGGCGACGAUCCGUAACUGGUCUGAGAGGAUGAUCAGUCACACUGGAACUGAGACACGGUCCAGACUCCUACGGGAGGCAGCAGUGGGGAAUAUUGGACAAUGGGCGAAAGCCUGAUCCAGCCAUGCCGCGUGUGUGAAGAAGGUCUUCGGAUUGUAAAGCACUUUAAGUUGGGAGGAAGGGCAGUAAAUUAAUACUUUGCUGUUUUGACGUUACCGACAGAAUAAGCACC